RNAcentral lists this ribosomal RNA (425 nucleotides) under uncultured bacterium. RNAcentral describes it as "partial 16S ribosomal RNA". It matches the Rfam family "Bacterial small subunit ribosomal RNA", at positions 354 to 796 of the family's 1533-position model. The record is from RNAcentral.
GUGGGGAAUCUUGCGCAAUGGGCGAAAGCCUGACGCAGCCAUGCCGCGUGAAUGAUGAAGGUCUUAGGAUUGUAAAAUUCUUUCACCGGGGACGAUAAUGACGGUACCCGGAGAAGAAGCUCCGGCUAACUUCGUGCCAGCAGCCGCGGUAAUACGAAGGGGGCUAGCGUUGCUCGGAAUUACUGGGCGUAAAGGGCGCGUAGGCGGACAGCUUAGUCAGAGGUGAAAGCCCAGGGCUCAACCUUGGAAUUGCCUUUGAUAAUGGCUGUCUGGAGUUGAGGAGGGGGGAGUGGAACUCCGGGGGUAGAGGUGAAAUUCGUAGAUAUGCGGAAGAACACCAGUGGCGAAGGCGACUCACUGGCCCAAUACUGACGCUGAGGCGCGAAAGCGUGGGGAGCAAACAGGAUUAGAAACCCUAGUAGUCC